UGGCUGAGUGGUAAAGCACUAGACUUCUGAACCAGAGGUCCCAGAUUGGAAUCCUGG
Molecule: transfer RNA, 57 nt
Filed under: Biomphalaria glabrata
Lineage: Eukaryota; Metazoa; Mollusca; Gastropoda; Planorbidae
Rfam family: tRNA
About the family: Transfer RNA (tRNA) molecules are approximately 80 nucleotides in length. Their secondary structure includes four short double-helical elements and three loops (D, anti-codon, and T loops).
Source: Rfam by way of RNAcentral